Molecule: ribosomal RNA, 484 nt
Filed under: uncultured bacterium
Lineage: Bacteria
Description: partial 16S ribosomal RNA
Rfam family: Bacterial small subunit ribosomal RNA
Source: RNAcentral
AUUGAACGCUGGCGGCAUGCUUUACACAUGCAAGUCGAACGGCAGCGCGGGCUUCGGCCUGGCGGCGAGUGGCGAACGGGUGAGUAAUACAUCGGAACGUGCCCAGUAGUGGGGGAUAGCUCGGCGAAAGCCGGAUUAAUACCGCAUACGACCUGAGGGUGAAAGCGGGGGAUCUUCGGACCUCGCGCUAUUGGAGCGGCCGAUGGCAGAUUAGCUAGUUGGUGGGGUAAAGGCCUACCAAGGCGACGAUCUGUAGCUGGUCUGAGAGGACGACCAGCCACACUGGGACUGAGACACGGCCCAGACUCCUACGGGAGGCAGCAGUGGGGAAUUUUGGACAAUGGGCGAAAGCCUGAUCCAGCAAUGCCGCGUGUGUGAUGAAGGCCUUCGGGUUGAAAAGCACUUUUGGCGGGAACGAAAAGGACUGUGCCAAUACCACGGUUCGAUGACGGUACCCGCAGAAUAAGCACCGGCUAACUACGUG